AUAUGGGCCACUAACUUCGAAUCAGCCUAUCAUCUCAGCCAGCUCUCGCAUUCUCUCCUGAAGGAAUCGGGAUGCGGCUCGAUCGUCUUCGUCUCCUCCGUCGCCGGUGUUGUUGCGAUACCUUACGGAACCCCUUACGCUGGAACUAAGGGUAAUUAGCUUUUAUUUUUCUUAAAAUUAUAUAUAUGCGGAGGUUCGAACUUUUGACCUUAUAAUUAUGGUAAUCAAACAUUAUGCUGCAAUUCAGGAGCAAUGAAUCAGCUAACGAAGAAUUUAGCGUGUGAGUGGGCGAAGGAUCACAUUCGGGCUAACUGUGUCGCGCCUUGGUUUACGAGAACUCCGCUAGUGAAUCCAGUGAGUUGUGGCUUUCUCCCUUUUUUUUUUUUUCUUUUUUUUCUUGGACUAGGAAUGCAAAUCGAUCCGAGCCGGUGGAGCUCCCAUCUCAAUUCGUUCUGAAUGAGACAAUCAGUGGACCCCAAUCCGCUCUAUCAGCGAAGAGAAUGUAGCUUUUUUUUUUUUUUUUGCUUUAAAUUUUUUAGAUGCCUAGAGGUCACACUAGGAAUGUAAAUGGAUGUGAGUCAGUAGUGCUCCCAUUCCGAUCAGCUCUGAAUAGGACAGUAAACAGAGGACCCCUAUCCACCCUAUCCGCUAAGAAAAUAGAGCAGUAAAGAGAGAAUCCCUUUUGUCCCUUGAUUUACUUUCAUCCAGCAAAAAUUUAUAAACCUCCAUUUUCUUUUAGAACAGCUUCGGAUGGAACAGUAAGUGAGGAUAGAAAAUAGGAUAAAUCAAAAUUUGUUCUAAAUUCGUCCUAACUCGCCAAGAAAAUAGGGCAGCCCCCCGAGUCCGUCAUGUUUGCAUUUCUAAUACAGACGCUUUUUAUAUAUUUGAAUCCGAAUUCAACACUGACUCAUGUAGCCAUGAGUUAGAAUGGUGUAAUUUGUUGUGUGGGAUUGGAGUUGAACCUUUUUCCUAAGAUUGUAAGAUUGAUCAAAACCAGUCCAAAGCGCGAAACCCAAUCGAUCAUUCUUAAACUCAAUUCCUAAUUUUAAAAUUAGCAUAGAAUUUUACUGUAAAAAAUAUUAACUUAUGGCACAAUGAAAUAAAGAAAAAAUGGUGUUCAUAAUAUUGUAGUUCAAAAUUUAUAGAAUGAGAUCAUUAAUUGGAGCCAUUUGAAAAGCCCGAAAGCGUAUAAAAUAAUAAAAAUAUUAUUCUUUAACAUCUAAAAAGAUUUUAGAGUACUCGGUUAUUUCAGAGAUCUAAUCAUAACUCUAUUUAUACUCAUCGCAGUUUCUCGACAAGCAGACACUGGCAAAGAUCCGAUCUCGCACGCCGCUCGGGCGAAUUGCGGAGGCGGAGGAGGUGUCGUCGGCGGUGGCAUUCCUUUGCCUCCCUGCAGCUUCUUACAUCACCGGGCAAACCGUCACGGUUGAUGGAGGCGUGACAAUAAAUGGGUUUUUCUUUAAUUAGAAUAGAAUUUGCCCGCUAAACUUAAUUAAUAUCCAUGAUUAAAUAAGAUAGGGAUUAAUGAGAGUUCCAAAGUUGUAUGUUGCUACUUCUAUGUAUGUCCUAUUUAUGCAGAUGUUCCGUAACGAAUGUGCUUAUUGCUAUUUUUUUAUUUUUUAUUUUUUUUUUUGUAUGUGUUUUUGACUUUUUAACAUUGCCGUUAGCCAAUUACCAAAACCAUUUUAUUGACAAUCCCUCAAUUUAUAUUUAAAAAAAUUAAAAUUGAAAGCUAAAAUAUACCCCCUUUUUUUCGGAUGUUUGCUUGUCUCCGUCUUUACAUUAAAUCCAUCAAUAUAAACUUUGUUUAAAAAACAAAUCUUUUUAUGAUAAAGCUUUUUUUAAGAGAUUUAGCAAACUUAUUGACCGCUCGUACUGAUUAGACGAGCUAAUAACAGUGUUGUAUUAUUUUUUUUAAAAAAAUAAAAAAUUUAAUUGAUAGAAACGAAAUCCAGUUUGGUACGGUCCGAUCUGGACUACCAGGGUGAGGGCUAUGCUGGGUCAUAGACAACGGUGUCAAUGAGUACGAUCUGCAUUACAUUCCUAAAUACAAUGCGCUCUCACCGUCUUGCCUUCGAACAAUCACCAUGGAGCUAUAAAGUUAACAAAUAGACAACGAACCGACCGUUCCUAAAGCAAAUGACAAAAAAUUUGGUGGUUGGUAUCUGAGAUCCAAGUUCGAAUCCUAAUUGAUUCACAUUUCCAGCUAAGUUUAUUUCUAAAUAAAAUAAACGAAGCAAGUAGCAUGCUAUCUAUCUCUCAAAAAAAAAAAAAAAAAACAAAUAGACAACGAGAUUUGUUUCUAAACUUGCAUCAAUAUUUCGAUAUGUAUUGGUGCGGUGGCCGACUAUUUUGAAUGAAAAAUAAUACAUUCAAUGUAAAUUUUAUUAUUAACAAAACAAAAAAGUUCAAAUUAUGAUUAAAUAUAACAUAUCUAUUUUGAUAAUAUCAAAAAUUAUUUUGGAUUAUAUCUAAUUGCAAAUGAAUGGUGGUGUUUGAGGAUCUGGUUGAGGAAUAGGUUGGUUCUAUGGGGUAUUGAUCGUACCUGUGGCGCACUCAAAUUAAGUCUCAAAUCAGAUGUGCUUAUCCACUGGAUUAAAGUUUAACACUCAUAUUAUUGACCAAAAGUGAUUGAUAUAAAAUUGCUGAGGGUAGUGUAAUUUUAAUCAAUUUGAGCAAACCUCAUACUAAAUUUCUCAAUAAUAUUAUUAGACGUAAUACUUUUAACUCUCAGUAUAUAAAAUUGUACUAUUUACCUUCCCAUCUCAGAUGUAAUAAUAGUUAAAUUUAAUGAAAUGUUCAAUAUAUCUAAGUAAAACAACUUAAAUAACAAAAUUAGAAUUAAAAGAGACCUCAAUAAAAAAGAGUGUAAAAUUGAGAACUCUAUUUUAAAUCUCCCAUACUUGAGGGAUCUCUCUACACUUUUAGCCUUAUAAAAGGAAAGCCAAGGUAAUGGAUACCAACACCAACCCCAAAAAAAAAAUCACACACAAAUGGAGGAAACAGAGAGUAAGAAAGGCAAAGAGAGGUGGUCUCUUCACGGAAUGACUGCUCUGGUCACCGGAGGUACCAAAGGAAUUGGGUAAUCUCUCUUCUCCGUCUUUUUUUAAUUUUCUCAUCUAUCAUUUAUUAACAGAAUCAUUUUUACUAUUUAUUUUAGCUAUGCGAUCAUGGAGGAGCUACUGAGCUUCGGGGCGGCGGUGCAUACGUGCGCACGAAACGAGGCGGAGCUGCGGUCGUGCCUGGAGCGGUGGAGGGGGAUGGGUUAUCCGCUAGUGACCGGAUCCGUCUGCGACGUGUCGUCGCGGGAGCAGCGCGAGCAGCUCAUGAACGAGGUGGCCUCCCUCUACGCCGGAAAACUCAACAUACUUGUGAGCAGAUAACUCUCUCCCUCACUCUUUUUUUAAGAAAUGCUUGAUUUACAACCAAAAAAAAAUUAUCUUAGAAUUUUUUUAGAAUUCACUAAUUUUUUAAAAAAUUUUUAGUAAACAAAUCGGUCGCAACUGGAUUUGUAGAUUAAAAGUAGACAUUGAAUAGAAUGAUUGUAGAAUUAUAGAUCUAGUAAUUUUGUUUUUUAAUCGAAGUGUGAGUCGCAUUCCAGUUCAGUUUUCACGCUUAAGUACCAAUCACAUGUAGUUGGUCAUAGCCUUUUAGGCUGAUCCAGAUUUUUGACUUCCAUGGUAUCAAAAGAGAGAAUAAAAGAAAAUAGGAAUGAGGUGGAAAAGUUUGUUCAUGGUUGAUAUGGACCAUACGUGUCCAAAUUUGUGUGGUAUAAAUUAUUUUCGAAUUUUAUUAUAAUAUAUUGUUUUUUUAUCGAAAUGUUUGAUUUCGGCCCGGUACAGCUCAGGCCCGUUGCGGGCCGUCGGGCCUUAAAAGGAGCAGCCCAGCAUGACCGGGCACAGACGCUACAGUAUCCACCGUGCCGUGUUGUAGUCCGGAUCGAGGCCGUGCCGGACAGAGCAGCCUAUUUUACAUCCCUAUCUAAAAGUUAAAGUUACCUAUAAAUAUAAUAUUUUAAACUUAUUUAACGCUUUAUAUUAAAUAAUACUAUAUAUAUUUAUUUUAUGUUUUAAUUUUUCAUCCUAGAUUUUGAACGGUUAAAAUUUACUCAUUUGUCUUAUUAAUUUUUUUAAUACUAAAAAUUGAAAUUUAUUUUUAAAUUCUUGAAUUAUAAAGUGUAAAGUAUACAUCCUAAAAUAAAGCCCAUCAACGAGCCAAAUACAAAUGAGCUGGGCAGGCUCGUGUUCACUCGUUUGAACGAGAUGAACACAAGUUGACUCGCGAAAAAUAAACUAGAUUGUCAAACCCAACUACUGAGUGAAAAGUUGAAAAAAAAAUAAAUAAUUAAAAUCUUAAUCUAAUAAUUAAAUUUUAUAAAAUAUAAAUCUCCUUAUAUUUGGGAGGCAUAUUUUUUAAAUAGUAGAAAUAUUUAAUAUAUAUAUAUAUAUAAAGAGAGAGAGAGAGAGAGUACGUCUUCUACACUUUCGAAAGCACGGAGCUCUCCGUAUUUAUAAGUUAUUUUUGAUGAUGGAACAUCCAAUUUGAUGAUCAGCUCCGUUAAGUAUAAUAUAUUCUAUUAGAACUAUUUAGAAACUAAAUUUCAUAAUUUUUCGACAUUAUUUAUCAAGUGAUUAAAGGGUCUCAAAAAUGACUAUUUUAAUAGUCGAUAUAGCACGUUUGUAAGUUCAACAGUGUAGAAGAAUCCAAAUUAUUUGAAACUUUAAUAAAAAAAAUUUAUUUAAUAUCAAGAGAAAAAACAACACUUUUAAUUUGAAGUUUGAAUCUUUUAUCAUUAUUUUUUUAUAAAAUUUUGAUUUUCAAUCGUUCAUUUUGAAGCUACACGUUUACUAGGCAAACAUAAUCAAAAAAUUAUAAAAUUUGAUUUUUAAAUAGUUAUAAUAAUGUAGAUCAGCCCUAACGGAGUGGAUUAUCAAAUCGGAUGUCCUAUAAUCGAAAAUAACUUUCAAGCACAGAGGCUUCCGUACCUUCGAAAGCGUAAGAACCUGAUUCUAUAUAAUUUUAAAAUAUUCAACUUAUAUUCAGCUUAUUUAUUAAACUAGUGACCAAUUUCAACCUUAUUUCAAGUUGAACACGAGUUGUCUCGUAAAUCCUAAUACGAAUGGCCAUUUCGUUUACGAUAUGUGUGAUAAUUAAUUUAUAUGCAGGUAAACAACGCCGGAACAAACAUACCAAAACCAACUACAGAAUGCAGUGAAGAAGUUGCUGCGCACAUAUGGGCCACUAACUUCGAAUCAGCCUAUCAUCUCAGCCAGCUCUCGCAUUCUCUCCUGAAGGAAUCGGGAUGCGGCUCGAUCGUCUUCGUCUCCUCCGUCGCCGGUGUUGUUGCGAUACCUUACGGAACCCCUUACGCUGGAACUAAGGGUAAUUAGCUUUUAUUUUUCUUAAAAUUAUAUAUAUGCGGAGGUUCGAACUUUUGACCUUAUAAUUAUGGUAAUCAAACAUUAUGCUGCAAUUCAGGAGCAAUGAAUCAGCUAACGAAGAAUUUAGCGUGUGAGUGGGCGAAGGAUCACAUUCGGGCUAACUGUGUCGCGCCUUGGUUUACGAGAACUCCGCUAGUGAAUCCAGUGAGUUGUGGCUUUCUCCCUUUUUUUUUUUUUAUUAAACUUUUUUAAGAUGCCUAGUGGUUAAUACACNCUUUAUUAGGCAUGAUCUAUAUUAUUAUAACUAUUUAAAGUUUGAAUCUUUUAUCAUUAUUUUUUAUAAAAUUUUUAUUUUUAAUCGUUCAUUUUGAAGCUACACGUUUACUAAGCAAACAUUAUAAAAAAAUUAUAAAAUUUGAUUUUUAAAUAGUUAUAAUAAUAUAGAUCAUGCCUAAUAAAGUCGAUUAUCAAAUCGGAUGUCCUAUAAUCGAAAAUAACAUACAAGCACGGAGACCUCCGUACCUUCAAAAGCGUAGAAGCCUAGUUCUAUAUAAUUUUAAAAUAUUCAACUUAUAUUCAGCUUAUUUAUUAAACUAGUGACCAAUUUCGAGCUUAUUUUGAGGCGAACACGAGCUGUCUCAUAAAUCCUAAUAUGAUUAGCCAUUUUCUUUAUGAUAUGUGUGAUAAUUAAUUUAUAUGCAGGUAAACAACGCGGGAACAAACAUACCUAAACCAACUACAGAAUACAGUGAAGAAGAUGUCGCGCACAUAUGGGCCACUAACUUUGAAUCAGCCUUUCAUCUUAGCCAGCUCUCGUAUCCUCUCCUGAAGGAAUCGGGACGCGGCUCGAUCGUCUUCGUCUCCUCUGUCGCCGGUGUUGUUGCGACACCUUAUGGAACCCCUUACUCUGGAACUAAGGGUAAUUAGUUUUUAUUUUUUUUAAAAUUAUAUAUGUACGGAUGUUCGAAUUUUUGACCUUAUAAUUAUGAUAAUCAAACAUUAUGCUGCAAUUCAGGAGCAAUGAUUCAGCUGACAAAGAAUUUAGCGUGUGAGUGGGCGAAGG
This 6444-nucleotide long non-coding RNA is filed under the name Ananas comosus (pineapple). Its description in RNAcentral is "long non-coding RNA (ACOM_LNC025211)". Lineage: Eukaryota; Viridiplantae; Streptophyta; Magnoliopsida; Poales; Bromeliaceae. The record is from RNAcentral.